AGAGCGAACGCUGGCGGCAGGCCUAACACAUGCAAGUCGAGCGCCCGUAGCAAUACGGGAGCGGCAGACGGGAUAGUAACACGUGGGAACGCGCCCUUCGGUUCGGAAUAACUCAGGGAAACUUGAGCUAAUACCGGAUACGCCCUUACGGGGAAAGAUUUAUUGCCGAAGGAACGGCCCGCGUCCGAUUAGCUAGUUGGUGAGGUAAUGGCUCACCAAGGCGACGAUCGGUAGCUGGUCUGAGAGGAUGACCAGCAUCACUGGGACUGAGACACGGCCCAGACUCCUACGGGAGGCAGCAGUGGGGAAUAUUGGACAAUGGGCGCAAGCCUGAUCCAGCCAUGCCGCGUGGAUGAUGAAGGCCUUAGGGUUGUAAAGUCCUUUUAACGGGGAAGAUAAUGACGGUACCCGUAGAAUAGCCCGGCUAACUCGUGCCAGCAGCCGC
RNAcentral lists this ribosomal RNA (445 nucleotides) under uncultured bacterium. RNAcentral's name for it is "SSU rRNA". It matches the Rfam family "Bacterial small subunit ribosomal RNA", at positions 26 to 518 of the family's 1533-position model. The record is from RNAcentral.